CAAGGAAUUUUUAGUAACAACAGAAUAACAAAGUGGUCUAGUACAUAGAUUGCAUGUAGUUGUUCCAAGAAAUACCUCACGCAAUAAAAAUCAUCCUAGCAAUUACAAAUAAAAUUCAUUUGGACACAAUUGAAUGCCAUAUAUCACUAAGUAACCAGCAACAUGGAAAUUUUAGAAAACACUAUUACAAAACAGAAUAGUACCAAAUUUGAAAACUAACUACUCUUGAACUUGUUCUUCAAGUAGCUUAAUUUGUAGGUGACCAGAGAUUUUACAUCAACUUCAUAUGUUCAGCAAUCUCUCUAGCGACUGAAACAUUGUUAUCCAUGGGCUGUAACCAACAUAGUCAUCAAAAUGAAACAAAUAGUUGGUCAGACACACAUAAUCGUAGAGCAAAAUGCCAAAACCGCCAAGGAUAUAGAUGGAUCAACAUUAAAUGGAAGCAUGGAACUAAAGAAACACAAAUCUAUUCUAGUGGUAAGUGGUAAAAAUACGAGGAAGAAGAAAUUAACCAUAUAUGAAUGGAUUGCUCUGUAAGACAGGAAAAUAGGUUAAAUGUGAAUAUAUUCAAAAUUUCCAAGUAUAUAAGAAUCUAAUGCAAAAAUGAUUGUGUGGAUCUUCUUUACAGUAUCCAUGGCUAAAGAAUAAAUUAAAUUCAAGGAACCAGCUAGCUAGAAUCACAUGAUUACUCGCCAAAAAAGUAUAUUCCUAUCUGGUUUAUUCUACAGAAAACAAACAAGCAACAGCCUGAAUGCAAAAUCAACAUUCCAUGUUAUAGAAGAUUACUUCUGGACUAAGGGUAGGUUAAACAAAAAAAUCAGCAAUGUUUGAUAGGAUGGAUGAGGGUCAGGGUCCACCUCAUGGUAAUUAAAAUAAAUCUAACUCAGCUUUCAUGAAUAUUGACAAACUGGGAGAUGGUCAGUGUGCACCAACGUAAUGUUUCCAAAGAGCCACAUAUGUAAAUCAAACGCAUCGUAUGGAUUCAACCCAAGUUCGCCAGCUAUUGUAAGAAUUCUGAGAGACAAGGUAAUAUACACAGAGCCAACAAAAAAUAGGAGCAUAUCCAACUAAUAAAUAUUCCAAACUUGCUUGCGAUGUAGAUUGCAUCGCUUGUUUACAUCGACGUAAAAUAAGAGCACGUCCAGCUAUAUCCUUCUGUCAGCGUGCAUCAAUAGACCAAAACUAGAAAUAAAAAGUUGCUUGACCAUUCAUUAUUUGCCUUCAGCUCAGUCUAAAAAUCCAAGAAGCAAACCUGAGAAAGGUUAGUGUACUGCAGGUGUAUGCACUACUUUCACAGAAGCUUAGUGCUUCCAUGUAUUGGUAAAGGAAAACCAGAUUCUACAUCUUUCAUUUUGCUAAUUGCUACCUAGAGAGUUCUGAAACCUCACUAGUGUUCAGGUCUGCACCUAGAGAGUUCUGAAGCCUUACUACUGUUCAGGUCUGGACCUGGAGAGUUCUGAAGCCUCACUAGCAGUUUUCUGAACGAGUUAACAUUUAAAAAAGGGACACGUUUGUGUCCUUUAGCAAGUCAUUGAAUCAAUAGACCCUAUAGAGGAAUAACACUAGAGUACCUUCUUAGAUCCAGAUAAAGGUGAUAGCUCUGUUUCUUGACUUUCUUGUCUGUUUUCGAUGAACUGUUCCUUCUUUCUUCUUAGGAGCUCCACUGCUACAAACAAAAGGAACCAUGUCCAGCCGUUUUCACUUAGAGUGGAGUAGGGAUGCUGCUACUGUAUUAGGAUGGUCAUCCCAUCAUUGUGAAUCUGCUCUGUUGCAGAAGAUGGAACAGAAGGAAACUAGAAAGGGUAAAGCACAAGAAAAUGUAAACAAAAAAUAAGCUGUACCCGAGCGAAGGUCUAUUCCAUCACCUCCUUCAGUAUGCAAGCUCCCCUCUUUUCUUUCAUCUCCUUUUCUGGUCUUCUUCCUUUUUCUUUGCCC
Molecule: long non-coding RNA, 1935 nt
Filed under: Triticum aestivum (bread wheat)
Lineage: Eukaryota; Viridiplantae; Streptophyta; Magnoliopsida; Poales; Poaceae
Description: long non-coding RNA (TAES_LNC023819)
Source: RNAcentral